RNAcentral lists this ribosomal RNA (469 nucleotides) under uncultured bacterium. RNAcentral describes it as "partial 16S ribosomal RNA". It matches the Rfam family "Bacterial small subunit ribosomal RNA", at positions 28 to 507 of the family's 1533-position model. The record is from RNAcentral.
GACGAACGCUGGCGGCGUGCUUAACACAUGCAAGUCGAACGGAAAGGCCCUGCUUGCAGGGUGCUCGAGUGGCGAACGGGUGAGUAACACGUGGGUGAUCUGCCCCUUACUUUGGGAUAAGCCUGGGAAACUGGGUCUAAUACUGGAUAGGACCAUGCUGUAGGUGGUGUGGUGGAAAGAUUAGUUUCGGUAAGGGAUGAGCUCGCGGCCUAUCAGCUUGUUGGUGGGGGAAUGGCCUACCAAGGCGUCGACGGGUAGCUGGCCUGAGAGGGUGGACGGCCACAUUGGGACUGAGAUACGGCCCAGACUCCUACGGGAGGCAGCAGUGGGGAAUAUUGCACAAUGGGCGCAAGCCUGAUGCAGCGACGCCGCGUGGGGGAUGACGGCCUUCGGGUUGUAAACUCCUUUCAGCCAUGACGAAGCCCUUGUGGUGACGGUAGUGGUAGAAGAAGCACCGGCUAACUACGUG